RNAcentral lists this ribosomal RNA (405 nucleotides) under uncultured Victivallis sp. RNAcentral's name for it is "partial 16S ribosomal RNA". It matches the Rfam family "Bacterial small subunit ribosomal RNA", at positions 355 to 774 of the family's 1533-position model. The record is from RNAcentral. Lineage: Bacteria; Pseudomonadati; Lentisphaerota; Lentisphaeria; Victivallales; Victivallaceae.
UCGAGAAUCUUGGGCAAUGCGCGAAAGCGUGACCCAGCAAUGCCGCGUGCGGAAUGAAGGUCUUCGGAUUGUAAACCGCUGUCACCCGGGACGAAAAAAAUGACGGUACCGGGGGAGGAAGCCACGGCUAACUACGUGCCAGCAGCCGCGGUAAUACGUAGGUGGCGAGCGUUGUUCGGAUUUAUUGGGCGUAAAGGGUCCGCAGGAGGUUUGUUAAGUUUGGGGUGAAAUCCCGGGGCUCAACCCCGGAAUUGCCUUGGAGACUGACGAACUAGAGUGCUGGAGAGGUAAGCGGAAUUCCAGGUGUAGCGGUGGAAUGCGUAGAUAUCUGGAAGAACACCAAAAGCGAAGGCAGCUUACUGGACAGUCACUGACUCUCAGGGACGAAAGCGUGGGGAGCAAACA